RNAcentral lists this ribosomal RNA (968 nucleotides) under uncultured bacterium. RNAcentral describes it as "bacterial SSU rRNA". It matches the Rfam family "Bacterial small subunit ribosomal RNA", at positions 8 to 974 of the family's 1533-position model. The record is from RNAcentral.
AGAGUUUGAUCAUGGCUCAGAUUGAACGCUGGCGGAAUGCUUUACACAUGCAAGUCGAGCGGCAGCGCGGGGCAACCUGGCGGCGAGCGGCGAACGGGUGAGUAAUACAUCGGAACGUACCCAGUUGUGGGGGAUAGCCCGGCGAAAGCCGGAUUAAUACCGCAUACGACCUGAGGGUGAAAGGGGGGGAUCGCAAGACCUCUCGCAGUUGGAGCGGCCGAUGGCGGAUUAGCUAGUUGGUGAGGUAAAGGCUCACCAAGGCGACGAUCCGUAGCUGGUCUGAGAGGACGACCAGCCACACUGGAACUGAGACACGGUCCAGACUCCUACGGGAGGCAGCAGCGGGGAAUUUUGGACAAUGGGGGCAACCCUGAUCCAGCCAUUCCGCGUGAGUGAAGAAGGCCUUCGGGUUGUAAAGCUCUUUCGGCAGGAACGAAACGGUGGGUCCUAAUACGAUCUGCUAAUGACGGUACCUGAAGAAGAAGCACCGGCUAACUACGUGCCAGCAGCCGCGGUAAUACGUAGGGUGCAAGCGUUAAUCGGAAUUACUGGGCGUAAAGCGUGCGCAGGCGGUUUGGCAAGAAGGAUGUGAAAUCCCAGGGCUUAACCUUGGAACUGCAUUCUUAACUGCCAGGCUAGAGUAUGUCAGAGGGGGGUAGAAUUCCACGUGUAGCAGUGAAAUGCGUAGAGAUGUGGAGGAAUACCGAUGGCGAAGGCAGCCCCCUGGGAUAAUACUGACGCUCAUGCACGAAAGCGUGGGGAGCAAACAGGAUUAGAUACCCUGGUAGUCCACGCCCUAAACGAUGUCAACUAGCUGUUGGGGCCUUCGGGCCUUAGUAGCGCAGCUAACGCGUGAAGUUGACCGCCUGGGGAGUACGGUCGCAAGAUUAAAACUCAAAGGAAUUGACGGGGACCCGCACAAGCGGUGGAUGAUGUGGAUUAAUUCGAUGCAACGCGAAAAACCUUAC